Molecule: ribosomal RNA, 252 nt
Filed under: uncultured bacterium
Lineage: Bacteria
Description: partial 16S ribosomal RNA
Rfam family: Bacterial small subunit ribosomal RNA
Source: RNAcentral
UACGUAGGUGGCGAGCGUUGUCCGGAAUUACUGGGUGUAAAGGGAGCGUAGGCGGGCUUGUAAGUUGAAUGUUUAAUCUAUGGGCUCAACCCAUAGCUGCGUUCAAAACUACAAGUCUUGAGUGGAGUAGAGGCAGGCGGAAUUCCUAGUGUAGCGGUGAAAUGCGUAGAUAUUAGGAGGAACACCAGUGGCGAAGGCGGCCUGCUGGGCUCUAACUGACGCUGAGGCUCGAAAGCGUGGGUAGCAAACAGG